GCCUGGGUAGCUCAGUCGGUAGAGUAUUAAAUCUCAGAGUUGUGGGUUCAAGCCCCAUGUUGGACG
Non-coding RNA from Podarcis lilfordi (Lilford's wall lizard), 66 nucleotides. Lineage: Eukaryota; Metazoa; Chordata; Lepidosauria; Squamata; Lacertidae. The record is from the annotation of a GenBank genome assembly.